Long non-coding RNA from Heterocephalus glaber (naked mole-rat), 531 nucleotides. The record is from Ensembl. NCBI's taxonomy places the organism in Eukaryota, Metazoa, Chordata, Mammalia, Rodentia, Bathyergidae.
CCCAUAUUCACUUACACCCAUUCUUACACUGGGGUACUUGAUUCAGAAGUGCACACUGUUGCUAUUUUGCAUGAGAAAUACUGAGCUUUAUUCUGAUGUGUAGGGACAAGGUUGAAUAUCUGUUGUAUGUAGAGGUGACUGCUUGGCAAUAAUGGACCGGGACGUACUUAUUUCUAAAUCAAGAUAAUGCCACUCAUGGCCCCAGAAACUAACUGUUGGGUUAUAAUUUAUCACCUACCUCUUCUUCUCUAAUUCCCAGUGAGGAAUGGCGAGACAGUCCAAAUCCAAGUGACCUGAAGGCUUCAAAUAUCUUUGAGAAAUGAUUUCCUAAAGCUCUGAGAAAAAGAUGAAAAUGCAAACCGAUACCUGUGCUCCAUCAGAAAAAAUAGGCUUCCAUGGUGAGAGACAAGAAAUUGCAUCCUCUCCGGAUACCGAACCUAUUGGCACCAGGAAGCUUCAUUUCUUACAGCCUCCAGAACCGUGAGAUGUGAAUGUGCUGUUUGUAAGCCACCUGGAUUAUCUAUUGUAUUU